This 747-nucleotide ribosomal RNA is filed under the name Halorubrum xinjiangense. RNAcentral describes it as "bacterial SSU rRNA". It matches the Rfam family "Archaeal small subunit ribosomal RNA", at positions 40 to 788 of the family's 1478-position model. The record is from RNAcentral. Lineage: Archaea; Methanobacteriati; Methanobacteriota; Halobacteria; Halobacteriales; Haloferacaceae.
CCGAUUAAGCCAUGCUAGUCGCACGAGUUCAGACUCGUGGCGAAUAGCUCAGUAACACGUGGCCAAACUACCCUUCGGAACACAAUACCCUCGGGAAACUGAGGCUAAUAGUGUAUACCAUACCACCACUGGAAUGAGUGGUAUGCCAAACGCUCCGGCGCCGAAGGAUGUGGCUGCGGCCGAUUAGGUAGACGGUGGGGUAACGGCCCACCGUGCCAAUAAUCGGUACGGGUCAUGAGAGUGAGAACCCGGAGACGGAAUCUGAGACAAGAUUCCGGGCCCUACGGGGCGCAGCAGGCGCGAAACCUUUACACUGCACGACAGUGCGAUAGGGGGAUCCCAAGUGCACAGGCAUAGCGCCUGUGCUUUACGGUACCGUAAGGUGGUACCAGAAUAAGGGCUGGGCAAGACCGGUGCCAGCCGCCGCGGUAAUACCGGCAGCCCAAGUGAUGGCCGAUCUUAUUGGGCCUAAAGCGUCCGUAGCUGGCCGCGCAAGUCCAUCGGGAAAUCCACCUGCUCAACAGGUGGGCGCCCGGUAGAAACUGCGUGGCUUGGGACCGGAAGGCGCGACGGGUACGUCCGGGGUAGGAGUGAAAUCCCGUAAUCCUGGACGGACCGCCGAUGGCGAAAGCACGUCGCGAGAACGGAUCCGACAGUGAGGGACGAAAGCCAGGGUCUCGAACCGGAUUAGAUACCCGGGUAGUCCUGGCCGUUAACAAUGCCUGCUAGGUGUGGCUCCGACUACGA